AAAAUCAUAUUUCAUAGGAUCAUUUCUCUAGUAUGAUUAGAGGUUCAAUCACCGAACCUCGCAGAAUACCCAACCACGAUGAUGCGAGAUGGGGUUCCUUUCUGAGCGUGAAAGUGGCUCUAAGGUAUCUUUCGGGGUGCUGCGAAGCCGUUGAUGAUCGCACUCUCUGGCUAUUGUAGUCGGGAGAUGGAAGGGAGUGGU
This is a small nucleolar RNA of Argiope bruennichi, 201 nucleotides long. RefSeq annotates it as small nucleolar RNA U3. The record is from RefSeq and is a predicted model, not a curated record. The transcript has a single exon. NCBI's taxonomy places the organism in Eukaryota, Metazoa, Arthropoda, Arachnida, Araneae, Araneidae.